UCCGGUCUUUUUAGCGAUACGGAACCACUCCUUCCCAUUCCGAACAGGAUAGUGAAACGUAUCAGCGCCGACGAUAGUUACCUGUGAUGGGUCGCGAAAAUAGGUCGGGGCCGGGA
Molecule: ribosomal RNA, 116 nt
Filed under: Candidatus Curtissbacteria bacterium RIFCSPHIGHO2_12_FULL_38_9b
Lineage: Bacteria; Candidatus Curtissiibacteriota
Source: RNAcentral